UACGUAGGUGGCAAGCGUUAUCCGGAAUUACUGGGCGUAAAGCGUGCGCAGGCGGUUUCUUAAGUCAGAUGUGAAAGCCCCGGGCUUAACCUGGGAACUGCGUUUGAAACUGGGAGACUAGAGUGUGGCAGAGGGGGGUGGAAUUCCACGUGUAGCAGUGAAAUGCGUAGAUAUGUGGAGGAACACCGAUGGCGAAGGCAGCCCCCUGGGCUAACACUGACGCUCAUGCACGAAAGCGUGGGGAGCAAACAGG
Molecule: ribosomal RNA, 253 nt
Filed under: uncultured bacterium
Lineage: Bacteria
Description: partial 16S ribosomal RNA
Rfam family: Bacterial small subunit ribosomal RNA
Source: RNAcentral